GGGGCCGACCUGGUUUCGACGUGGGUGCGGAUGCGGGAUAGGGCAUGUCGAGCACCAGUUCGCUCGUAAAUCCACUGGAAAAAAACUAACUGCAAACGACGAAUCGUUCGCACUCGCCGCUUAACACCGGUGAGCCUCUCAACAGUUGGCCUAUGGGCUGGGUUUGAGUCGCAAGACAAGAGCUGAGAGGUCAUUCACAUAGGCUGGACUUCAUGCGGGUCACUCGCAUGGGGUCAAGAUUAAGUGACUGGCUGAUCUGGUAGCGUGCUUCUGCGCGAUCAGGUUGACGAGAUUCAAAUCAGACAGCUAAGCAUGUAGAUCUACUCGUUGAUGGCUUACGGACGGGGGUUCAAUUCCCCCCGGCUCCACCA
RNAcentral lists this transfer-messenger RNA (371 nucleotides) under Burkholderiales bacterium. It matches the Rfam family "transfer-messenger RNA". From Rfam's summary of the family: Bacterial tmRNA, also known as 10Sa RNA or SsrA, is named for its dual tRNA and mRNA-like properties. Its role is to liberate the mRNA from a stalled ribosome. Lineage: Bacteria; Pseudomonadati; Pseudomonadota; Betaproteobacteria; Burkholderiales. The record is from RNAcentral.